GAUUAACGCUGGCGGCGUGCCUAACACAUGCAAGUCGAGCGGCAGCGAGUUUUACACUGAAUUCUGGAAGCUUCUAGUUGAAAGAGAAGAUUUAUUCAAGAAUUUUGUGUAAAAUGUCGGCGAGCGGCGGACGGCUGAGUAACGCGUGGGAACGUACCCCAAAGUGAGGGAUAACGCAUCGAAAGGUGUGCUAAUACCGCAUAUGGUCUUCGGAUUAAAGCCUUCGGGCGCUUUGGGAACGGCCUGCGUAAGAUUAGAUAGUUGGUGGGGUAAUGGCCUACCAAGUCGACGAUCUUUAACGGGUUGGAGAGGAGGAUAAGUAAGACUGGAAAUGGGCCACGGUCCAGACCCCUCGGGGAGGCAGCAGUGAGGAAUUUCCCAAAAGGGGCGAAAGCCGGAGGGAGCAACGCCGGGUGAAGGAUGAAGGCCUUGGGGUGGAAAACUGCUUUUAAAAGUGAGGAUUAUGACAGUAAUUAAGAAAUAAGGAUCGGCUAACUACGG
RNAcentral lists this ribosomal RNA (501 nucleotides) under uncultured bacterium. RNAcentral's name for it is "partial 16S ribosomal RNA". It matches the Rfam family "Bacterial small subunit ribosomal RNA", at positions 28 to 506 of the family's 1533-position model. The record is from RNAcentral.